Molecule: ribosomal RNA, 451 nt
Filed under: uncultured Hyphomicrobiales bacterium
Lineage: Bacteria; Pseudomonadati; Pseudomonadota; Alphaproteobacteria; Hyphomicrobiales
Description: bacterial SSU rRNA
Rfam family: Bacterial small subunit ribosomal RNA
Source: RNAcentral
AGAGUUUGAUCCUGGCUCAGAACGAACGCUGGCGGCAGGCUUAACACAUGCAAGUCGAACGCCCCGCAAGGGGAGUGGCAGACGGGUGAGUAACGCGUGGGAAUCUACCUUGAACUACGGGAUAGCUCCGGGAAACUGGAAUUAAUACCGUAUGUGCCCUUAGGGGGAAAGAUUUAUCGGUUCAAGAUGAGCCCGCGUUGGAUUAGCUAGUUGGUGGGGUAAAGGCCUACCAAGGCGACGAUCCAUAGCUGGUCUGAGAGGAUGACCAGCCACAUUGGGACUGAGACACGGCCCAAACUCCUACGGGAGGCAGCAGUGGGGAAUAUUGGACAAUGGGCGCAAGCCUGAUCCAGCCAUGCCGCGUGAGUGAUGAAGGUCUUAGGAUUGUAAAGCUCUUUCACCGGGGACGAUAAUGACGGUACCCGGAGAAGAAGCCCCGGCUAACUUCGUG